AUGGAUGGAAUUAUGACUUUACAUGAGCUCCUCAAUUACACCCAUGUCAAGAAAAAAGUAGGGGUGGUGCUUAAGCUCGACUUCGAGAAAGCAUACGACAAGGUUAACUGGGAGUUUCUGUUGGAUUGCCACAGAAUGAGGGGGUUCAACGAAACCUGGUGUGGGUGGGUGAAAAAAAUCCUAUACAAUGGUACUGUUAGUAUCAAACUUAAUAACUCAGUGGGGCCAUAUUUUCAAAGUGCUAAAGGGGUGCGCCAAGGAGACCCCCACUCCCCCUUUCUGUUUAACCUAGCUGUAGAAUGUCUCAACAAGAUGAUCCGUAAAGCGCAGCAAAAUGGCCUCCUAACUGGGCUAGCAUCUGAUCUUGUCCCGAAUGGGGUGGCAGUUCUGCAAUACGCAGAUGACACGAUCAUUUGUCUCGAGCAUGAUGUGGAAAAGGCAUUAAAUCUGAAGCUCCUCUUAUACAUAUUCGAGCUCAUGUCUGGACUGAAAGUAAACUUCCAGAAGAGCGAGAUCCUGACUGUCGAAGGGGACGCUGACAUAGAUAGCAAGUAUGCUGAGAUCUUUAACGAUAGCCGGAUCGUCAAAGUCGACUUCCUCGAAAACGAUAGCCACUAUCUCAUCGAAAGACGGGACACCUUUGCCUCUAUCAGGCUCAGAUGA
RNAcentral lists this ribosomal RNA (663 nucleotides) under Triticum aestivum (bread wheat). RNAcentral's name for it is "partial small subunit ribosomal RNA". Lineage: Eukaryota; Viridiplantae; Streptophyta; Magnoliopsida; Poales; Poaceae. The record is from RNAcentral.